UACGAAGGGAGCUAGCGUUGUUCGGAAUUACUGGGCGUAAAGCGCGCGUAGGUGGCUUUGCAAGUCAGAGGUGAAAUCCCAGAGCUUAACUCUGGAAUUGCCUUUGAAACUGCGAAGCUUGAGUAUCGGAGGGGAUGGUGGAAUUUCUAAUGUAGCGGUGAAAUGCGUAGAUAUUAGAAGGAACACCGGUGGCGAAGGCGACCAUCUGGACGAUAACUGACACUGAGGCGCGAAAGCGUGGGGAUCAAACAGG
RNAcentral lists this ribosomal RNA (253 nucleotides) under uncultured bacterium. Its description in RNAcentral is "partial 16S ribosomal RNA". It matches the Rfam family "Bacterial small subunit ribosomal RNA", at positions 524 to 776 of the family's 1533-position model. The record is from RNAcentral.